CCUCGUGAGGGAAGGUGUGCUCGUAUCCCUCUUAAGCACAUGCACACACCAGAGUUGCCCGAUGUGGGACUAUUAAGGGAGGUCCCCCCACAGCCUGCCCACAACAGAUGCCCCCCACUCUGGAGGGUGCAUGUGUUGGUGAGCAGGGGGCGGGUGCCCCCUACCUGACGCGCCACUGUUGUGCGCACGUGUCAAACAGGUCGUCGGAGACCGCACGCUCUGCCCCAUGAAGUAUUGCCCGCUUUGGCUGGGUCCGGACCGGGAGCGUGCCCAGUGGUCCCCACCAGGGGUUGUCCCCCCAGCAUUACGCAAACGGCCUCACGGUUUUGUCCCUUGCAUUGGGGUUCACCCCGCAAAAGGCGCCUCGUGAGGGAAGGUGUGCUCGUAUCCCUCUUAAGCACAUGCACACACCAGAGUUGCCCGAUGUGGGACUAUUAAGGGAGGUCCCCCCACAGCCUGCCC
RNAcentral lists this long non-coding RNA (462 nucleotides) under Elaeis guineensis (African oil palm). Its description in RNAcentral is "long non-coding RNA (EGUI_LNC057857)". Lineage: Eukaryota; Viridiplantae; Streptophyta; Magnoliopsida; Arecales; Arecaceae. The record is from RNAcentral.